CCCUAGAGUGGGGGACAACAGUUGGAAACGACUGCUAAUACCGCAUAAGCCCACGGUGCCGCAUGGUACUGAGGGAAAAGGAUUUAUUCGCUUUAGGAUGGACUCGCGUCCAAUUAGCUAGUUGGUGAGGUAACGGCCCACCAAGGCGACGAUUGGUAGCCGGACUGAGAGGUUGAACGGCCACAUUGGGACUGAGACACGGCCCAGACUCCUACGGGAGGCAGCAGUGGGGGAUAUUGCACAAUGGGGGAAACCCUGAUGCAGCGACGCCGCGUGGAGGAAGAAGGUUUUCGGAUUGUAAACUCCUGUCGUUAGGGACGAUAAUGACGGUACCUAACAAGAAAGCACCGGCUAACUACGUGCCAGCAGCCGCGGUAAAACGUAGGGUGCAAGCGUUGUCCGGAAUUACUGGGUGUAAAGGGAGCGCAGGCGGGAAGACAAGUUGGAAGUGAAAACCAUGGGCUCAACCCAUGAAUUGCUUUCAAAACUGUUUUUCUUGAGUAGUGCAGAGGUAGAUGGAAUUCCCGGUGUAGCGGUGGAAUGCGUAGAUAUCGGGAGGAACACCAGUGGCGAAGG
This 576-nucleotide ribosomal RNA is filed under the name uncultured Lachnospiraceae bacterium. RNAcentral describes it as "bacterial SSU rRNA". It matches the Rfam family "Bacterial small subunit ribosomal RNA", at positions 129 to 721 of the family's 1533-position model. The record is from RNAcentral. Lineage: Bacteria; Bacillati; Bacillota; Clostridia; Lachnospirales; Lachnospiraceae.